Molecule: ribosomal RNA, 560 nt
Filed under: uncultured bacterium
Lineage: Bacteria
Description: bacterial SSU rRNA
Rfam family: Bacterial small subunit ribosomal RNA
Source: RNAcentral
CGGGGGAAAGAUUUAUCGGAGAAGGAUUGGCCCGCGUAAGAUUAGAUAGUUGGUGAGGUAACGGCUCACCAAGUCAACGAUCUUUAGCUGGUUUGAGAGGAUGAUCAGCAACACUGGGACUGAGACACGGCCCAGACUCCUACGGGAGGCAGCAGUGGGGAAUCUUAGACAAUGGGGGCAACCCUGAUCUAGCGAUGCCGCGUGAGUGAUGAAGGUCUUAGGAUCGUAAAGCUCUUUCGCCAGAGAUGAUAAUGACAGUAUCUGGUAAAGAAACCCCGGCUAACUCCGUGCCAGCAGCCGCGGUAAUACGGAGGGGGUUAGCGUUGUUCGGAAUUACUGGGCGUAAAGCGCACGUAGGCGGACUGGAAAGUUGGGGGUGAAAUCCCGGGGCUCAACCCCGGAACUGCCUCCAAAACUUCCCAAUCUAGAGAUCGAGAGAGGUGAGUGGAAUUCCCAAGUGUAGAGGUGAAAUUCGUAGAUAUUUGGAGGAACACCAGUGGCGAAGGCGGGCUCACUGGCUCGAUACUGACGCUGAAGGUGCGAAAGCGUGGGGGAGCAAC